UGAGUUGUUGCUGGCCCUCAAAUGGGGACAUGUGCACACUCUGUUUACACAUCCACUCACACCUGUGCACUUUCUGUAGUACUGUGGUCUGGGGGUUCUGUCCUCCUACUGUGGUUCUGCGUAUUUAUACACACACACUGUAAUAAAGUCUCAUGGAAUGUAUGCCGCGUUUAACGCAAUGAAAUACAACUUUCAGCAACGGAUCUCUUGGCUCUCGCAUCGAUGAAGAACGCAGCGAAAUGCGAUAAGUAAUGUGAAUUGCAGAAUUCAGUGAAUCAUCGAAUCUUUGAACGCACCUUGCGCCCUUUGGCUAUUCCGAAGGGCAUGCCUGUUUGAGUAUCAUGAACACCUCAACUCUCAUGGCUUGCCAUGAUGAGCUUGGACUUGGGGGUUUUGCUGGCCUACAGUCAGCUCCCCUCAAAUGCAUCAGCUUUCCAGUGUUUGGUGGCACCACAGGUGUGAUAAACAUCUACACAUGUGGUUCCCCACCAUGUAACCUUCAGUGAUGGAGGUUCACUGGAGCUCACAAAUGUCUUUCCUCAGCGAAGACAGUUCUUUGAUUGUUUGAUCUCAAAUCAGGUAGGACUACCCGCUGAACUUAAGCAUAUCAAUAAGCGGAGGAAAAGAAACUAACAAGGAUUCCCCUAGUAACUGCGAGUGAAGCGGGAAGAGCUCAAAUUUAAAAUCUGAUGUGCCUCUGGCCGUCCGAGUUGUAGUCUGGAGAAGUGUUUUCCGUGCUGGACCGUG
This 747-nucleotide ribosomal RNA is filed under the name uncultured fungus. Its description in RNAcentral is "eukaryotic LSU rRNA". The stretch from base 188 to 342 matches the Rfam family "5.8S ribosomal RNA". The record is from RNAcentral. RNAcentral also lists the same sequence under 1 other name. Lineage: Eukaryota; Fungi.